UCCAAAUCUGGAAUCCUGACUAUCUUAUUUUAAACAAGUCAGAGAUUGCAAGCUUCAAUCUGUUUGGAUAGAAAAGAAUUUAUAUAAAUGUUUUGUUCAAGCCUAAAAGGGAAAGAGAGUUUAAAUAUACAGUGCAUGAAAGAUGCAUGCCCAACUUCAAAACAGCUUAGUGCACAGAAGAGGAAAAAUAAUCUAACCUUCUGUUAGUCAUUCCCAGCAGUUUUUAAGCUUAAAUAUUUUACAAUUUGCAAUGUUGUUUCAAUGACCCUAACAGUAAGAGAUUAACCAAAAUUUCAUAACUGCCCUGUUCGGCCUCCCCUCCUGGAUCAGGGGUGGGCAGGGGGAGAGCAGGGGGGAGUGAGGGCUGCAAAACAAGAAGGUCAAAGAACAAAUGGAAACAAAAUCUGUAUUUUGCACCCUUGCUCUGCACUUGAGAAAGAAAAACGAGGCAGAUAAAUCUGUAUAAUACUAAACCAAAUCUCUUUAAUUCCAGUCCGCUUUUAUCAUUCAGUCACUGAGUGUGAGUGUGUGUGUGUGUGUGUGUGUGUGUGUGGAAAAAUUCAUGCUAAUUCCCCCUAGCAACAGCCUCAGCCUAUCAGGAGACUUUAUGUACCAUGCAGCUGCCAGCCAAGGAGAAUAACUCUAAGUAGGUCAGGCCUGUAUUUCUAAAAAUGCUACGGUCUAGUAACCCCAGUGUCCCGUCUGUCUGGCCUGCCCCAUAAUAACCUCAAUUGCUUGGUGACACAAUGACAUACUACGCUGUUAGAGCGCAAUCACAUCACGCUACAUUAUUCUGUGCCGAGCAUCACUGCUGGGUGAAGGACCCUCGGAGGGGCAGCAUUAAUCAGGCAGCCAUUCAUGUCCACCCGCACUUCACUCCCAAAAUGGGGACUGCAUUAAUGACCAGCUGUUUGAACUAACACAAACAAAAUAAUGUCUUCCACCCUGUUGGGUGCACAGAAUACUCUCUUCUGAUCUGGCAGGUUCUGCUUCUUGACUAAAUCGAAGAUGUAAAUUUCAACGGGCUCAGACAAUGUCAGCUUUGGCAAGCUCGGAGUAAGUAUAUUUAAAUGAUAUUACAUGUGAUUCAAAAAGCUAUUGAUUUAAUACACACAGCUUUCUCUGCCUACAAUUUUCCCUAAUCCACAUUAAAAAGGGAAAUGCAUACACGGGAAGGCAAGACAUAGGUACCUAUUACCCAGAAAGCCAAAUGCACAGAGCUGAACGAAAAUUGACUUCUCUUUGGGGAGAGAAACAAAGCGGGUCAGGAGUAAUUGUGCAGCGUGAACACAAAUACAAAUACCACAUGAAUGUUGUGGCGGAGCGCUGAAAACAAAUAAGAGUAAACACUCUAAGCCGACCAACCAAUCAGCUCCUCCCACCAUGGCUUCGUGGGGGUUGUAGUAAUAACCAAAAUCUCUGAGCCCACGGGAAGAAGCAGGAAUGGGCUCCAGGCCUUCAAAUCUCAACCACACCAUGGAGUCCCGCCUUUGCCUGUGAUGACUGGCAAGCUGCGAUUGGCUUUAAGAAAACCGAGGCUCCUUCAAGGCUUCGGUGAGGCUGGCCACAAACAUCAGUGCCCCGCAAUCAUUUCUGAACUUUUCACUGGAAAUUUUAGAAUUUCAAGUGGCUCUACUUUUGAAGGUAGCUCUUGAAUUCACUCUAUUUUCAUGCAGAAAACAAGCAAGCAGAAAUGAUGUGAGGUUGCUUCAGUAGGAGACUAGCCAGGCAGCGGUAGGCAUUGAGGGAUAAUUUUUGUUUCGAGACAGCUUGUUCUGAUUGGCUCUUGCACAGUGAAUCUGCAUUUUUAUGGGUCCACAGAUUUAUUUCCCAACUAUACCCCCCCCCACAACUUCCUAAUUCAGUGUUAGUGAUGUAGAAUUCAGCAAGUCUUCUAUAUGUAAUCCAUCAGUAUUUGAUUUACAAACAUAGAAAAUUCCUUAAUCCGUGUGCCCUUGUUUGAACUGGGUUUGAUAACUUAGUUAUGACUAUCUUCUUCACUCUGGGGCACACAUCACAUAGUUAUUCUUGGAGAGAGAUAGUCACUGACGCAACCAUGAACCGCUAAUUACAAGCUGCUGACAUUCUGCUUGCCUAUGCAGCUUUGAAGUUCUAAGUCUGUUUUUCUGUCCCAUAUGCUUGCUCAGUUAGAUUCUCCUCCUCUUCUCCCAAUUACCCCCUCUUCCUUUCUUUCCAUUUUUAGCCUUUCGGGAUUCAUUCUAGGACUCUCUGGAGAAAGCAGUAACAGCGAUCGGAUCCUCUCCAAUUUGCUUUCUUUCCAUUCCCUCCCUUUACUCUGUGCACACAGAUCUACAGUUUGAAAGUACAGUAAUAAGAUCCCCACCCAGCCCCGCCCGCAGGAAUGCAUCAACAGCUGGCCAAACAUAAUCCAGCACACAGAGCUGCCUUUGUAGAAUUAGUAACAAACAGUGGAAGGGCCAGACAGGCGACCCAGAAGAGCUCCCCAUGACAACUAGGAGACUCUCCUGGCCAACUUAGAGCGGACAUUACUGAGCCGAGCUGCAGUUCUGAGCUCGUGCAUCUGAAGCCAGAGCCAGCGUCCUCCAGAGCCGCCCACCACCUCCCCAGCGCCUGUUCCCUAGGCACUCGCCUCUCCACAAGGCAAGUUAGAUUAGCCUGCUUUCUCCAUCCUGACAGUGGCGAGCCACAGUCAUCCGCAUGUCUCGAGCCCUACGAAUGCCACACCCCAAUCUCUGAAACCCACGAAUGGCAUCCACACCUGCAGGGAUUUGUAGAAGAAGAAGACAACAAAGCCCCACAAUCAGUUCUAGCAGAGAACACAGCACUCAGAACUUCAAGGAGUUAAAGCUGAGGGGGCUUGCUUUCACAUUAACGAGAAAAUUCUGUAUGCAGCUGCACUGCCCGCGUUCUCUAGCUAGUCAGGAAAUGGGUGUUGAGCUGAAGCUGAAAAUACAAGCUGCAAUCAAGCCCGAUCCAGCAAAGUGACAGACUUCCUGUGCAAAAUGGUCAGAAAUCUUUUUUUUUUUCAUGUCUCUACAUGCAUGCACAUGCAUUUAAAUCCAUGCUGCAGGGCUGCUCUUUCCUCUGGGGACUCUGGUACAGUCACCUAGCCCAUCAGUUUCUUCCUUGACAGCACCGGGGACAUCCAGACUACAAUUUACAGUUCCUCCAUCCAUGUACUGGGUUAUAAAUUAUGCCAUCCUCCCUAGAAUGAGAAUGUAGAGCAAGCGGCGGACCAACGGCAUCCAGCAUCUCUCCUCGCUCCUCUUUCUUUUCACGCGCUCCCUCACUCUGCCUCCAGCUCUGCCUCUUCAGACAGAUACAUCAGAUACCUGGUUUAUCCAUCUUCAGCUCCAUUCUCAGGUAACGUGCCACCACAUCCCAGCAAGGAUCUCCCCCCAGACUAGUGCCCCGGAAGAGCCCAAGUUGGGUGCCUUGCUGGUGGACUGGUGGGCACUGGACAUAGGUAUUCCUAACUUCCCCUUCCCCGGUCCUUCGCGUCCUUUCUAUCGUCCCACCCCGGAUCUUCUGCAGCUCCGUCCUGUCCUCCAAGUGCCCUCAUCCAGCUGCGAGGUGGCCCCGGCCAGGUCUCCAUGAGCUGGUCGUUCUUCCGCAGUGCGCAGACGAACCAGUCCGGAUUCGGGUGCACCGUGGCGAAGCCGAGGCGGGUAGACAGCAGGAGCAGCACAGGUAACCCGGGGAAGCUUGGCGUGCCCACAGCAAUGCAGCCCUGGAGCUGUGAGGAAAGACGAUCUGGCUUCAGAAUAAAAAAAAAAAAAAAAAA
Molecule: long non-coding RNA, 3766 nt
Organism: Condylura cristata (star-nosed mole)
Lineage: Eukaryota; Metazoa; Chordata; Mammalia; Eulipotyphla; Talpidae
Exons: 2
Source: RefSeq, a predicted model, not a curated record